GCCUGCGGCCACGCCACCCUGAACAAGCCCGACCCCGUCUGAUCUCGGAAGCUCAGCAGGGUCGGCCCUGGUGAGUACUUGGAUGGGAGACCACCCAGGAAGAUGAGGUGUUGUAGGCA
This 119-nucleotide ribosomal RNA is filed under the name Pteropus alecto (black flying fox). The record is from RNAcentral. Lineage: Eukaryota; Metazoa; Chordata; Mammalia; Chiroptera; Pteropodidae.